UGUACAGGUGGUGCAUGGUUGUCGUCAGCUCGUGUCGUGAGAUGUUGGGUUAAGUCCCGCAACGAGCGCAACCCCUAUUGUUAGUUGCCAUCAUUCAGUUGGGCACUCUAGCGAGACUGCCGGUAAUAAACCGGAGGAAGGUGGGGAUGACGUCAAAUCAUCAUGCCCCUUAUGACCUGGGCUACACACGUGCUACAAUGGUUGGUACAACGAGUUGCGAGUCGGUGACGGCGAGCUAAUCUCUUAAAGCCAAUCUCAGUUCGGAUUGUAGGCUGCAACUCGCCUACAUGAAGUCGGAAUCGCUAGUAAUCGCGGAUCAGCACGCCGCGGUGAAUACGUUCCCGGGCCUU
RNAcentral lists this ribosomal RNA (350 nucleotides) under uncultured Streptococcus sp. Its description in RNAcentral is "bacterial SSU rRNA". It matches the Rfam family "Bacterial small subunit ribosomal RNA", at positions 1031 to 1382 of the family's 1533-position model. Lineage: Bacteria; Bacillati; Bacillota; Bacilli; Lactobacillales; Streptococcaceae. The record is from RNAcentral.